GUGGCAGUGGGUUCAAUUCAGCUGUUCCCGAAUCUAAUCUGUGGAAGUAUCGAAGAAAAAGCUCAUGAAAUGGAAGAACUGAAGAAAUUAUGAGUGAUAAUGGCAUGAACUCUUGGUGAAAGGGCCACAGAAAAGUGCGUCAGCUAGCUGAGCUGCCCAUGCUUCUCCCUCCAAACUUUCUUGGUCUUUACACACCUCCUGCAUGGUUCUGUUUCUGUUUUUGCUUGCUGAUGGCAUUGGUGGCACAGCGAAGCAACAGCUACGAUUAGAAUCGGUGUGGCUGGCUGGUCCAUCUAACACGCUUGUAUUUGUAUAAUUUUUUAAUGUAUUUUAUGAUUUUUUUUGUGGGUU
Long non-coding RNA from Carya illinoinensis, 351 nucleotides. RefSeq lists it as uncharacterized. The transcript is spliced from 2 exons. NCBI's taxonomy places the organism in Eukaryota, Viridiplantae, Streptophyta, Magnoliopsida, Fagales, Juglandaceae. The record is from RefSeq and is a predicted model, not a curated record.